Molecule: ribosomal RNA, 254 nt
Filed under: uncultured bacterium
Lineage: Bacteria
Description: partial 16S ribosomal RNA
Rfam family: Bacterial small subunit ribosomal RNA
Source: RNAcentral
UACGAAGGGGGCUAGCGUUGCUCGGAAUUACUGGGCGUAAAGAGCUCGUAGGCGGUUCCGUAAGUCGUGAAGUCAAAUCUCUGGGCUCAACCCAGAAUCGCUUCCGAUACUGCGGUGACUGGAGUCCGGUAGGGGAGUGUGGAAUUCCUGGUGUAGCGGUGAAAUGCGCAGAUAUCAGGAGGAACACCAACAGCGAAGGCAGCACUCUGGGCCGGUACUGACGCUGAGGAGCGAAAGCAUGGGGAGCGAACAGG